RNAcentral lists this transfer RNA (71 nucleotides) under Marmota monax (woodchuck). Its description in RNAcentral is "tRNA.Ala". The record is from RNAcentral. Lineage: Eukaryota; Metazoa; Chordata; Mammalia; Rodentia; Sciuridae.
GUGGUUGUGGCUCAGUGGUACAGCGCUUGUGUCGCACGCAUGAGGCACUAGGUUUGAUCCUCAGCACCACA